RNAcentral lists this long non-coding RNA (1167 nucleotides) under Vombatus ursinus (common wombat). RNAcentral describes it as "lncRNA (ENSVURG00010005642.1)". The record is from RNAcentral. Lineage: Eukaryota; Metazoa; Chordata; Mammalia; Diprotodontia; Vombatidae.
AAACAUGUGACACUUACUAGCUGUGGGACCCUGGGCAAGUCACUUAACCCCAAUUGCCUUAAAAAAAAAAUAAUAAUGUGAAUGGAAAGAGCAUCGACUUCUUUGCCACUAAUUAGCAGUGUGACCUUGGGCAAGUUCCUUAGGCGCUCUGCCCAGUUGCCUUAUGGACAACAUGAGAGAGUUGUGCCAGGUGAUGUCUAACGAUUAGAUCUUCCUGAUCUGCAUAUUGUUCUUCUGCCAGCGUUAGAGACUUGGGUUUACCGGGUCCUGCUACUAUUGACAGACUGUUUCGGAUCUUCUUUUGCAGAUCGAAGAUUAUGCUUUGAGGAAAAACAUGUCUGUGGAUGAGGUUGAAAGAUGGCUGGGACCCAUUUUGGGAUAUGAUGCAGACUAACUGUCCUGUCAUCUUCCUUCCAUCUGAAGCUACUUCAGAAAACAGACCCCCGAGUGCCUUUAAAAAUACCACAGCUGAUUAGCAUCUAAUGCAUUGGCCUACUUAAGGUUUGGGAAGACUUCGGGGAAAAACCAUUUGAUGAUGCAGAAGAUCUCUGUCAUCACCAUGAUGUGCAUUUGUGUGACACUGAAACUUUCAAAAGCUGACAAGUUUGAGAUCACAACUUUGAACUCCCUUCAAGGAAAUCAACAUUAUAAAAAGGUCUGUAACUUGUCACAUGUGACUCAGGAACUUCGUGAUCAUACUUUAGUGGACGGAGGCUGUGCAGAAAUAAAAUGCCAUCCAAUGGCCCCAUAAAAGGGGUCAUGAAGAAUUGGACCCAACUGAAAUGACUCAACAGCAGCAACCACCACAUAGCAUAAUACAUCAGACAGGGAAUCAGGAGCCCUCAGUUUUCUAGUCCUGGCAUUAACACUAAAGAUCUGUGGGACUAUUGUGUAUUCACUUAACCACCUAUUUGAAGAUGAGGAGAUUUGGCUCAAUAAUCUUUAAGAUGCCUUUCAGCUCUAAGAUUCCGUGGCUCUCUUAAGUGAUACUGAAGACCAGAGAAGAUAAAGACCAGUGGGCUGGCAUAGUCAGGGAAAGCUUUGUAGAGUGAGACUUGAGCGAGGUCUUGAAGGACAUGGUAGAUUUGAAUAGAGGGACUGAGACAAGGAUUUCAGGCAAAGGGGUAGGGGAUAGAGCACAGCCAUUGAUGCAAAGAUGAAUAUGAC